Molecule: transfer RNA, 64 nt
Filed under: Fretibacterium fastidiosum
Lineage: Bacteria; Thermotogati; Synergistota; Synergistia; Synergistales; Aminobacteriaceae
Rfam family: tRNA
About the family: Transfer RNA (tRNA) molecules are approximately 80 nucleotides in length.
Source: RNAcentral
GCUUGUAGCUCAGUGGAUAGAGCGACGGCCUCCUAAGCCGUAGGUCGGCAGUUCGAAUCUGCCC